GUCAAUGACGAAGACUGUGUGUACUUCCUCUUCUUUUCCCUUUCUCUUCUCCACCUUUCAACAUGUUCGAUUUGUUGAGACGUUGACAUCUCCUGUUGGUGAUCAAUGGGAUUUGGACUUCAUGGGGAGAGACAUUUUGCUGCAUGGAAACUAUAAUGGCUUCCAUGCUGGAUUCCCAGUUAGAUAAUCUAUUAUGCAUAUUCUCAUUCUGUUCGUCAAUGUAUGAUCUCACGAAACAUAAAUUGGUAUCAACAUAACACCGUAUGUGCUCUUGUUGCAGUUGGAAUAAUUCUUCUUGCCUUUGAGAACUGCCUGAUAAUGGGCUUUUUGUAUUUACAAUUCCUGGGCCAUAUGACUGUGAAAUAAAUUUGAUAGAGAAUUAUCCAUGUACGAAUGUAUACCAUGUUGCAUGUAAUCUUGCAAUGAUUUGUUCUGUUGUUCGAACAACAGCUUUUGGUUUUCAAGGAUCUCAUGGUUUAGGGCUCUUGAUUCUUCAACAAAGUCUUCCUUCAAGUUACCACAUAGGCCAAACACAUCCGAUAUCGUAUGCUGCCUGUACAUGCCCAUCAUUUCUUCCAAACGAUCUUCAGUUACACGUCUUGAGGUACCAGACGCAGAACUAGGCCCAACUCCAAUUGAAGUUCUCGAUGUAUCAUGACUUGUCAUUUGUUGUGCACGGAUGUGAUUUGGUAUUGGUUGUACUACAUUCUCUAAUUCUCUAUUGACAAUGGCAUCUAAUAUACUAUGUUCAUUGUCAGCUGGCAGUGACAAAUUUGAGUACCACGGUGUUUCUAAUUCUUCUUCCGUAGGUUGCAGCACUGCAAGGACUUCGAUCUGUAAUCAUCGUAAACAAGUUCGUCUCAUCAAAUUUUUGAAUGUCAAGUUUUACAAAUUUAAUGCGAAUGUCAUUUUACGUUGAAAUUAAAAAAUUCACAUCUCUUCAGUAUCCAAACAUUCUUUAACAAUCGCUUCCUUGAGUAUUGUAUUAGGCCUCCACUUGUACAUUCAUGGACUCUGUACUGUUUUGUACUUACGGCGUCCAAACUUUUGCCCGAUUUGUGGAAAUGUUUUAUAUAUCCAAUACUACAACAUAAUUACAGAUAAAUGUCGAUAUAUAUAAUAUUUUUUUUACAAAGAAAUCAUACAGAAUACGGGAACAAUUAGAAUAGGAACAACAUACCUGAAAUGCAAGUGGAUAGCCUUGUACUGCAUACUUACAUUCUGUUUGUUGGUUUUGUUGCAUCCUUACUAUUCGUUCCAAUUGCGACUCUUUUAACAAAUUUAACAAAAUGAAAUAUGCUUUACAGCCCUAUGAAUACAUGAGGAACUCAUAAAGAUGUUCAACCACACCCAAAGUUCUAUAAUCAAUGUCUUGAAGUCGGUUUCCACACACACUCCACCAACAUAAUUAGUCCCAACUUAAAUUUAUCUUCUUCGUCUUCACAUAUAUGGAAAGUUUCAAAAAGCAUUUUAUUACUAAUUCUUUUUACCCCAUUGAAGUAUUGAUCUCUAAAACGAUCUUUACUAUAGUUAAUUUCAAUGGAUGGUUCAUGGCAAAGUAGUCCAGUAAUUAGGCAAAAUUAUUGCAUGCCGAACCUGGCAACAUGGUUAUCUAAUCGUACCCAAGUUCAUUAUUUUUGCCACUAUCUACAAUUCGCAUUAUAAAUUCAUGUACCAACUUGCUACUAAAUUAUUCUUCUUCUUCCCUGAGCAUGACUCCGUAAGCAAAUACACAAAAAUUACUACACAGUAUAGAACAUUGUUGAUUGGCAUCUAUGAAUUCUACAAAAUUUUUAAUAUAUUCAUGAUUUGGAUACUAGACGAUGGUAGCAAAAAAUAAUUGAUCUGGAGAGAGAACGUAUUCUAAAGAUAUAUGCAUAAAUCACACAAUAAUUAAUAUUUUCAAACAAAU
Molecule: long non-coding RNA, 1912 nt
Filed under: Olea europaea subsp. europaea
Lineage: Eukaryota; Viridiplantae; Streptophyta; Magnoliopsida; Lamiales; Oleaceae
Source: RNAcentral